UGGGGAAUAUUGGACAAUGGGCGCAAGCCUGAUCCAGCCAUGCCGCGUGAGUGACGAAGGCCUUAGGGUUGUAAAGCUCUUUUGGCGGGGAAGAUAAUGACGGUACCCGCAGAAUAAGCUCCGGCUAACUUCGUGCCAGCAGCCGCGGUAAUACGAAGGGAGCUAGCGUUGUUCGGAAUCACUGGGCGUAAAGCGCACGUAGGUGGAUAGUUAAGUGAGGGGUGAAAGCCCGAGGCUCAACCUCGGAAUUGCCUCUCAUACUGGCUGUCUCGAGUCCGAGAGAGGUGGGUGGAAUUCCUAGUGUAGAGGUGAAAUUCGUAGAUAUUAGGAAGAACACCGGUGGCGAAGGCGGCCCACUGGCUCGGUACUGACACUGAGGUGCGAAAGCGUGGGGAGCAAACAGGAUUAGAUACCCGCGUAGUCCCUGAGCGGGCUGGCAAGGCGCAU
RNAcentral lists this ribosomal RNA (447 nucleotides) under uncultured bacterium. Its description in RNAcentral is "bacterial SSU rRNA". It matches the Rfam family "Bacterial small subunit ribosomal RNA", at positions 355 to 825 of the family's 1533-position model. The record is from RNAcentral.